UNCAAGUUGGAUGGUGUCACUCUGUACUAUC
Molecule: non-coding RNA, 31 nt
Filed under: Mus musculus (house mouse)
Lineage: Eukaryota; Metazoa; Chordata; Mammalia; Rodentia; Muridae
Source: RNAcentral